UGUGUUACCUGCUGCAGUCCAGAAGUCCUUCGUAAAUGGCUUUGAUCUGGAGAGUUUAUACUGACUUUUUCCAGUCCGAGUAGGAACCAUCUCCUCUGCUCCACUCGCUGGCGCCGGAUCCUGCGACCUCUCUACAUUUCCACACUGAGCGUGGUCUGAGCUUUCCGAGUCCGUGCUCCUGGACAGCCCCCAAGCUGCCUCCUCACGUGGAGGAUGUCGACACCCCAGUCCUGCAGCUAAAGCUUUGCUCUCUCAAAGUGAAACAAUCCUCAAACUUGAACUGCUGUA
Molecule: long non-coding RNA, 288 nt
Filed under: Manacus vitellinus (golden-collared manakin)
Lineage: Eukaryota; Metazoa; Chordata; Aves; Passeriformes; Pipridae
Description: lncRNA (ENSMVIG00005014861.1)
Source: RNAcentral